Bicyclus anynana (squinting bush brown) is the source of this 217-nucleotide long non-coding RNA. RefSeq lists it as uncharacterized. NCBI's taxonomy places the organism in Eukaryota, Metazoa, Arthropoda, Insecta, Lepidoptera, Nymphalidae. The record is from RefSeq and is a predicted model, not a curated record. The transcript is spliced from 2 exons.
GCCACGAAGCUGUCCGAGGGGUCCUCCUUGGGCGGCUCCAGGAGGCGCGGGAACGGCGGCGCGGCGCUAGCCUCGAACGCGCCCUCGCCGCCGACCGUCUCGCCCUCCUCCGCUAUUUUCGGUACUUUGGCCUCCCGCGGUACAAAGUGCGAUCUCAAACUUUCCCAGCACCGAAGUCUAUAUUUGGAGUGAGAGACAAAUAAACGUAAGGUUCUUA